Long non-coding RNA from Sus scrofa (pig), 2469 nucleotides. RefSeq lists it as uncharacterized. The record is from RefSeq and is a predicted model, not a curated record. NCBI's taxonomy places the organism in Eukaryota, Metazoa, Chordata, Mammalia, Artiodactyla, Suidae.
CAAAAAAAAAAAAAAAAAAAGCAGUAAAAGGGUCUUUAUUGGCUCAUUUAACUGGUAUGGAGAAGUGGAGGUGCCUUCAGGAUCAAUGAAAUCUAGGGAUUCCUGUCAUCCUCAUUGUUUUUCAUCUCUUUUUUGUUUCUCCUUUUCUUACCUUAUUCUCUUCUCCUGCAGAGAGGUUUCUUCAGGAUAACUUGAGCCAAAGACGAGGCAGCUGCAGAUGCACAUCAUCCCACUUUAGCAAUCCCAGAGGAAAGCAAGGGUAUCAGUACACAUAAUUCCAGAGAAGAAUUUCAGUUGACCUCGUCUGGAUUCCAUGUUCAAUCCUUGGACUCAGAGGAAGAAGGAAAUGGAGAAGGAGCAGCAGACUUCCACUUUAACCGCAUCAGCCUGGAUUGAAUCACCUGGUCACACUUAGCAACAAGAGGGCCCCGGGAGCACAACCCUCUAUGUCAGAUGAAGGAACUCUGAGUCAGCUCUUGUCCAGUUCAAGCCGGUUGAGACCACAGACCCCUCAACUGGGCCUGCUUGAGUGUUCCACAGGUGACCUUUUGUGUCAGAGGGCUGAAAAUUCCAUUGGAUCAUGCUAACACCGCUGGUGUUCUGAACAUACACCCUGUCCAGACGCAUGAAGCCCAUCUGCACAUGCGCAGAGCAACCAUUCAAUCCUUCCUCACGUGUCUUACCCACAGUUGCCUUGCCCUGCACCUCUGCCGGCACUGUGCCCUUUACUCACAAAUAUCCCAACCCUCUUGCCUUUGGGAGAGCAGACUUCGCGAUCUGUUCUCCUGUCUCAUGAGUAAACCCUCUCUUUGCUGCAAACGUCAGCGUCUGUCAGGCAAAGGAACAUGGUUUGGUAACGAAAUGACAGGAAUCUAAAGAAUUAGCAACAAGCAUUUUUCAAAAGUGUUAAAGUGCUUAUAAUAAAAGCAGCCUAUUUGUGAAGCAGAAUCCAGGUAAGAAGAAAAUUUAGUGAACUAUAUUAUACUAUGAAAUGGAUCUCUAUUAAAAUUAUUGUGCCAUAUGUCUCUACAUCUUUCACAAACCCGUCAACAUUUUCUCUUGCUAGCUACGAUCUAUCUUAUUUGUGCUUUAAUUUACUUCAGUUGACACCUACUAAUAUCUAAAGUCAAUUAGACCUGUUUUUCCCAGGACAGUCACAGCAUAAUUAUUAAUAGCAUCCCCUUUCAUUCUCAAGUGUUUUGGUUUAGAUGAUCAGUUAUAUGGUUUCCAUUAUAUCUAAAGAACAACAACAAAAAAAAAAUGAACUGGUCCAAGUGGAACUGUUUGGUAAUGACUUGGAAAGGGCCAUUGAAGAGUCUACUUCCCAGAAAAGAGCAAAUCACUUUGACAUGUCACGUGAAGCACACUAGAAUUUCCCUUGUGCUAAUACAGAAGACUAGGCGGCAUCCUUCAGUUCCUUACAGCCAUAGACAACGUCACAAUUUGUAUAGACUGGGAAAUCCCAGUUCCUCCUGUUACAAAAACCAGGAUCCUUUGCCCGAUACACAGCAAGCCAAACACUGAGACUGGAAAUAAGGGAAAGAUGAAGUAAUUGUUGCACUGACAGGCGAACCUAAGCUACAUGCUUCUUCAUGGGACACAUAUUCAGAAAAUGGCGGCAUUAGUGUGUUCUGAGGGAGGAGGUUUGCCCUCUGGCCCCAAAAGGUCAGCCAUUGGACACUUGAGCAUGCCCAGUUGGGGUCUGUGGCCCCAACCAGUUUGAACUGGCUUGAAAUGGACAACAGCUAACUCCAAGCUCCUGGAAAAACAACUUGGGCAAACAUCUUGACUCAUGACUUAAUGUUUAGACUACAUGACACUUGUAGGAUAUGCAAAUUUUUAUAAAAACAAAGCAAGUUUGAUCAGUGAAAGCAGGUUACAGUUUAUUGUUUAUUAAGCAAGUUAUAUUUAAUAGAUGUGAUGAUUAGCCUCAGAUUCACCCUCUUUUCUUUCCCUUUAACUUUGAUACUACUUUCUUUUGUUCUUGUUUAGAACAUCUGACAGAAUUUCUUUAACUUAGGCAUAGUUGGGGGUAGGAGUUGAUAUUGGAGGGCAAGGAAUGAGAUUCCAAUAAUAUAGACAUUAAACUGAAUGGAGAUCUUGGGAUGCUCAUAAAUUUGGAAGGCGUUGCACCAAUCUCUUUAUGCACCUCUACUCCAAGGCACAAAUUAUCUAACAGUGCUACAGCAAAUAUUCUCAUAUCUUUGGGUGCUUGCCCAAUUAUUUCCUUAUAAAUCCUUCUAUUUCUAUUUAUUUUCUAAAUUUAAACAAAUAUGCAUACUAUUUUUAAUACAUAAUGGCAGUUUGUUUUACUGUUAUAGUAAAUGGGAAUAUAUAUUUUUUCACACAUACAACACUGAAUAAUAUUUUCCUGGAGCAUCAGAUCUGUGACAAAUAAUAUCACUUUCUUUUCGUAUGUUUUUUUUUUUUUUUUGUCUUUGUAGGGCCACACCUGCAGCAUAUGGAAGU